RNAcentral lists this ribosomal RNA (780 nucleotides) under Gyrinicola japonica. RNAcentral's name for it is "partial large subunit ribosomal RNA". It matches the Rfam family "Eukaryotic large subunit ribosomal RNA", at positions 344 to 929 of the family's 3401-position model. Lineage: Eukaryota; Metazoa; Nematoda; Chromadorea; Rhabditida; Pharyngodonidae. The record is from RNAcentral.
AUCAGUACCGUGAGGGAAAGUUGCAAAGAACUUUGAAGAGAGAGUUCAAGAGGGCGUGAAACCGCUGAGAAGGAAACGGAUAGAGUUGACGAAACACAGCGGCAUUCAUCCGACCUGUCCUGGCAACUGGCUGCCCGGUAUAGAUCGUUCUCCUCGGGGAAUGACGGUCUGGCUGUCAGCUUAGUCGGCUGGUUGGUGCUUUUGCCGUUGGUAUGCGCGGAGACGUUCGCUGUGGCGUGUCGACGUCGAUGUCAGAGGACCAGUGCCAAAUGGUACUGGAAACCUGACUCGGCUUAGGUAUGUUCGCGGUGAAACGGUAACCACAUACGCCGCUUGCUAGUUGCGUAGCUGCCUCUGCAUAGUUGGGUGCGUUGUUGGGCGAUCGCGUGCGAUUUGUCUACAGCUGUAUUCCGGCUUGUUUCUGGCUAGUUACGUUGGCGGUGUAUCUCCGUGUAAAAGUCAGCCACCUAUCCGACCCGUCUUGAAACACGGACCAAGGAGUUUAGCAUAUGCGCAAGUCAUUGGGUGGUAAACCUAAAGGCGUAAUGAAAGUAAAGACUGCUUCGAGCGGUUGAUAUGGGAUCUGUGCUUGCUUGCAGGCGCAGCGCACCAUAGCCCCGUUCUUGUUGCUUGCAAUAGGGCGGAGGUAGAGCGUAUACGCUGAGACCCGAAAGAUGGUGAACUAUGCCUGAGCAGGAUGAAGCCAGAGGAAACUCUGGUGGAAGUCCGAAGCGGUUCUGACGUGCAAAUCGAUCGUCUGACUUGGGUAUAGGGCGAAAG